RNAcentral lists this ribosomal RNA (506 nucleotides) under uncultured Serratia sp. RNAcentral describes it as "bacterial SSU rRNA". It matches the Rfam family "Bacterial small subunit ribosomal RNA", at positions 349 to 847 of the family's 1533-position model. The record is from RNAcentral. Lineage: Bacteria; Pseudomonadati; Pseudomonadota; Gammaproteobacteria; Enterobacterales; Yersiniaceae.
CAGCAGUGGGGAAUAUUGCACAAUGGGGCGCAAGCCUGAUGCAGCCAUGCCGCGUGUGUGAAGAAGGCCUUCGGGUUGUAAAGCACUUUCAGCGAGGAGGAAGGUGGUGAGCUUAAUACGCUCAUCAAUUGACGUUACUCGCAGAAGAAGCACCGGCUAACUCCGUGCCAGCAGCCGCGGUAAUACGGAGGGUGCAAGCGUUAAUCGGAAUUACUGGGCGUAAAGCGCACGCAGGCGGUUUGUUAAGUCAGAUGUGAAAUCCCCGGGCUCAACCUGGGAACUGCAUUUGAAACUGGCAAGCUAGAGUCUCGUAGAGGGGGGUAGAAUUCCAGGUGUAGCGGUGAAAUGCGUAGAGAUCUGGAGGAAUACCGGUGGCGAAGGCGGCCCCCUGGACGAAGACUGACGCUCAGGUGCGAAAGCGUGGGGAGCUAACGGGAUUAGAUACCCUGGUAGUCCACGCUGUAAACGAUGUCGAUUUGGAGGUUGUGCCCUUGAGCGUGGCUUCC